UGAUCUAACCAUGCCGCGUGAGUGAUGAAGGCCUUAGGGUCGUAAAGCUCUUUCGCCAGAGAUGAUAAUGACAGUAUCUGGUAAAGAAACCCCGGCUAACUCCGUGCCAGCAGCCGCGGUAAUACGGAGGGGGUUAGCGUUGUUCGGAAUUACUGGGCGUAAAGCGUACGUAGGCGGAUUAGUAAGUUAGGGGUGAAAUCCCGAGGCUCAACCUCGGAACUGCCUCUAAAACUGCUAGUCUUGAGUUCGAGAGAGGUGAGUGGAAUUCCGAGUGUAGAGGUGAAAUUCGUAGAUAUUCGGAGGAACACCAGUGGCGAAGGCGGCUCACUGGCUCGAUACUGACGCUGAGGUACGAAAGUGUGGGGAGCAAACAGGAUUAGAUACCCUGGUAGUCCACACCGUAAACGAUGAAUGCCAGUCGUCGGGUAGCAUGCUAUUCGGUGACACACCUAACGGAUUAAGCAUUCCGCCUGGGGAGUACGGUCGCAAGAUUAAAACU
RNAcentral lists this ribosomal RNA (499 nucleotides) under uncultured bacterium. RNAcentral's name for it is "bacterial SSU rRNA". It matches the Rfam family "Bacterial small subunit ribosomal RNA", at positions 384 to 901 of the family's 1533-position model. The record is from RNAcentral.